This 255-nucleotide unclassified non-coding RNA is filed under the name Hevea brasiliensis (rubber tree). Lineage: Eukaryota; Viridiplantae; Streptophyta; Magnoliopsida; Malpighiales; Euphorbiaceae. The record is from RNAcentral.
GGGAAGAAAAAGAAGAAGAAAAAGGCAAGGAGAAACAACCCGAGGAGAGUCAAAGAAAUGAUUCUUUUGAUGGGUUUGAUUCCAAUUUGACCAGUGCAACAUUAGUUUUAGAAAAGCAGAGCAAUUCUUGAGUUCUAGCACUUUUAUUGUAUAGAAAUGGAAAAUAUAAAGUAUUUGUUAUCCGCAGUGAUUUUGUCAUUCAUAAUUAUUUUGUUUGUUUCUAUGAUAGUGAAAUUUUCUACACUGUUAUAAAAU